This 811-nucleotide long non-coding RNA is filed under the name Brassica napus (rape). Its description in RNAcentral is "long non-coding RNA (BNAP_LNC000421)". The record is from RNAcentral. Lineage: Eukaryota; Viridiplantae; Streptophyta; Magnoliopsida; Brassicales; Brassicaceae.
AAGUUUGUCCGGUGCUAGGGCUGCAAAGCACCGGCACCAUAUCUAACUUAAUCUUAGAGAGACAAGGCCAUGGACUAGACGACUGAUUUUAAAGGAAUUAUCCAAGUCGAAAUCACUGAAAUGCAUGAGAGGAUUGGCGGAUACUGACGAGUAGAGGAUUGUGAAGAGAAGAAGAACAAGCUGCCGUCUUUUUGCCUAGCGUAUAAGAUCUUCGGGCGAGUAGAGGAUUUUCUUAAGUAAAAGUCGGUGAUUCACCUGGAAGUCACUUUAAAAGCAAUGACAUAUAUUUCUUGACCAAAAAUUGGCAUAUAACUCAACUGAUCUUCAAAAAGAAUCAUACAUAUUCGUGCUACAAAAAUAAAGGUAAAAUGCAUCAUCAUCUAUACAAAAUUUAUAGCGAGCAUUGUUCGUUAUAAACAUUGUAACUGUUACAGCUUCACAUAGUUAAUUUGCGAUGUGUAAGCAGCCAUGAUUACAAAAUAGCCUCACUCGUUUUACUCUAAUUUGCUUCACUAACCGAUCCAAAGAAACAAAUAAUCUUUUUUUGCAGACUGAUUUAGCAGUUCCUCGAGGCAAAUAGAUUGAUCUCUCCUAUCCCCUUGUCAAGCAAAAACCUGAGGAGUUCUGAGAAUACAUUUCCACUGGAGGUAGAGCUAAAAACAAGUGAUUUUUUGUGCCACAAGAUCUUCUUACCGGAACCGUAGUAUUCAAAGUUUGUUAUGUAUUUUGAAGCAUUAGCUAAAAGUAAAGAACAAUAUAAUUUCAUUUAUUUAUCAUUUCGUUGAGGCAUGACAUGCUUUCUGAAGAAAAC